UUGUGGUUUUCUUGCGCUCGUGCGUCCGUCUGUGUGCUGUUGGGAAGAUGCACUAUUAUUUUUGAAUUAGUCAGAUGCGAACACAAUGAGUCGCAGGCUUCUGGCUGUUAUUGUUAUUGUGCACGUGUGUUUGCUUCGGGUCGACUGACUGCUGGCGCUCUGUCUUCACACAUUCAGUGUGUUUUGGCUUCAUUCGUCUCUCUCUCUCUCUCUGUGUUUCUUCACAGGAUCCGAGAUGUCGCUCGCCCCUUAAAUCACUUUCUGCACCACCGAAAGUGACUGCUGUCCUCAGCCCAUCUGUUUGCCUGCUCUUCACCUUCAGCCUCGGCCUGGUGUCAUCAUCUUCCAGGUUUUCCGCAGCUCCUGCGCCGCAUGUCCUCUGCAUUGUGGCUGCGUCACUCAUUAAUUUGAGCGUGCUUAUGAAGCAGGGGCCUUUGGGUAAUUA
This 445-nucleotide long non-coding RNA is filed under the name Sinocyclocheilus anshuiensis. Its description in RNAcentral is "lncRNA (ENSSANG00000016731.1)". The record is from RNAcentral. Lineage: Eukaryota; Metazoa; Chordata; Actinopteri; Cypriniformes; Cyprinidae.